RNAcentral lists this ribosomal RNA (253 nucleotides) under uncultured bacterium. RNAcentral's name for it is "partial 16S ribosomal RNA". It matches the Rfam family "Bacterial small subunit ribosomal RNA", at positions 524 to 776 of the family's 1533-position model. The record is from RNAcentral.
UACAGAGGGUGCAAGCGUUGUUCGGAAUUACUGGGCGUAAAGCGCGUGUAGGCGGUUCUGUAAGUCUGCUGUGAAAGUCCAGGGCUCAACCCUGGGAUGCCGGUGGAUACUGCAGGGCUAGAGUACGGAAGAGGCGAGUGGAAUUCCCGGUGUAGCGGUGAAAUGCGCAGAUAUCGGGAGGAACACCUAUUGCGAAGGCAGCUCGCUGGGACGUUACUGACGCUGAGACGCGAAAGCGUGGGGAGCAAACAGG